RNAcentral lists this unclassified non-coding RNA (287 nucleotides) under uncultured fungus. RNAcentral describes it as "sequence contains ITS1". Lineage: Eukaryota; Fungi. The record is from RNAcentral.
GUAUUGAAUUUGUAACUCCAAAUCAAUAGCUACUUAUCAGGCAAGAACUUCUUGUCUAUUCCAAUCCACUUGAUGUAUUUUCCUAGUCAUGUAUGUUUGUUUGUUCAGAAAAGACCAGACAGGAGAACAGAGAGAGAGAGAAAGAGAGAAAAAAAGAGUCAGAAGAAGUUGCCUCCUUCAUAUUCCCCUCUCCCCCUCUUUCCCCCCCCAUCAUCCAUUCCCCUCUUCCAACCUUUUCUGUUGUUUAUAAUUCUUUGAUGAUCCCUCCGCAGGUUCACCUACGGAGA